UGAGUGAAGUCGUCAAGCAAAAUUCUCCAAAACAAGCAAAACACAAUACAGAGGAUGAGAACUCGAGCAUUUAGUUGGGUUUCUGAUAUUUCGGACACGCUGUACAUCAGGAUUUCUGUGAAGCUGCUUCGGGACAACGCAUGGCUCUGAGGACGGGGUCCAUUUCCAGACUGGUUCUUCCCAAAAGUUCUUCUCCUCCUCCUCCUCCUCAUGAGCUCUUCCUCACCAGCGUCACCUCUGGCUUUUUGAUUAUUCAGCAUCUGUAUCCAGAUGUUAAGUCUUUGGUUAAACUUGCUAUACGCAUAAAACCAAAUCAUAUUACAUAGUUAUGGGUUAAUGAUGUUUUUUUUAUUGGUGAAUUUUCAGAUUUUCAGAUGCAGUUUGAUUCUGAAGAGGGAAACCAUGAGAGAAUGUAAAGAAUGAGAUUGAAAACAUUUAAAACAGGAAAUGUUCAACUCGGUCAACCUGCAGAACUUUAAAUCAGCAGCUCAACAUCUUAUCAGCUCGAUUCAUUAACCUGAUUUUCAUCUGCUAUUAAAAUAUAUUAUUUAUUUUUAUUUUGCAUCCACGCACUAGUAUCUAAGCGCGCGAGCCAUUUUGGUUAGAUACGAAUGCAUUAAAAAAAAGGGUUUUCCUGACUCUAAAUAAUAUCAAUAAUAUUAAAUACAACACAUUUAUCUCCGCAGAUACCUUUCCUCUCUUAUCUUUUUAAACACAUUGUUAAAUAUCUUCAUUAAAAAAAAAAAAAAAAAAUAGACGUUAAGAUGCUAACGCUGCGACGUUAGCCAUGUUUGCUAAACGAAGCUCGUGCCCCAAAUCCAUAGCUCUUUUUGUGAAGGCGGUGAGCGACACUCGGUCGAAAAGAGAAGGAGGCAGCUCAAUUCAACGCGUAAUGCGCAUGCGCCGGACAUUCAAGACGAACAAACUUUAUUGUAAUGCAAGUAAUAUUUUAAAUUCAUACACAAAAUCUGUAGCGUUAAAAGAUCUCUCAUUUAAUAAACGUUACUGUUACAUGGACACGUUUCUUUGUGCAAUGAUAUUUCGCAGAUUCUCAUGGAUGAUGCAGUAGAAAAAAUAACCAAUUAAAUAACGACAAUGUUAGAACACAACAACAAUAAAAACAACACAUAAGAAGAAACUUCUCUGAGACCUUCAUGAAGACCUCGGAAAUAAAGAAACACAACACAAGCCAGUGUGAAGUAACCGUGGAGCAGCUUAGACGGCUCACUGGCCACUUUAAUAGGAACACAUGGACCCUGCUCAUGCAUGCAAUCAUCCAACUGAACAGACGCCUGGUCUUUUUCCAAUCUUCACCUGUACAGUUUGGGUGAGCCUGUGAUUUGGUCUUGUGCAGUUGAUGCUUUUCUGCUCAGCACGUUUGUAAAGUGUGGUUACAACAAACUUCCUGUCAACUCGAACCAGUCUGACCAUUCUCCUCUGACCAUCUCUCUCAUCAUCGAGGAGUUUCCGGCAACACGUCGUACAGCCUUGCUGUGAGUGAAAAAUCCCAGGAGAUUCUGAAAUAUCAACCGAAGAGCUUGACCUGUAUCUUCAUGAUGUUAUGCACUGAGCUACUGAUACACGACUGGCUGAUCGGAUAACCGCACGAACGUUCCUAUUAAAGCGGCCGGGGAAAGAGCGACGAUUCAAGCACAAAAAAUGCAGCAACUGGACGUUCUUCCAGCGUUUUCUUUCCCUCCUCCAAAUUAAGAAAGAUUACGAGAGUAAAAACGUAACUUCAGUUAAAACACGGUGAGAAAAUAAAAAAGAGAAAAACACACCUGCUUGAAUUCAGCUGCUAGCUUUCCAGCCACUGCAAUAAAAAAA
Molecule: long non-coding RNA, 1827 nt
Organism: Ictalurus punctatus (channel catfish)
Lineage: Eukaryota; Metazoa; Chordata; Actinopteri; Siluriformes; Ictaluridae
Source: Ensembl